GAUGAACGCUGGCGGCGUGCCUAAUACAUGCAAGUCGAGCGAACAGACGAGGAGCUUGCUCCUCUGACGUUAGCGGCGGACGGGUGAGUAACACGUGGAUAACCUACCUAUAUGACUGGGAUAACUUCGGGAAACCGGAGCUAAUACCGGAUAAUCUCUUGAACCGCAUGGUUCAAUAGUGAAAGACGGUUUUGCUGUCACUUAUAGAUGGAUCCGCGCCGCAUUAGCUAGUUGGUAAGGUAACGGCUUACCAAGGCAACGAUGCGUAGCCGACCUGAGAGGGUGAUCGGCCACACUGGAACUGAGACACGGUCCAGACUCCUACGGGAGGCAGCAGUAGGGAAUCUUCCGCAAAGGGCGAAAGCCUGACGGAGCAACGCCGCGUGAGUGAUGAAGGUCUUCGGAUCGUAAAACUCUGUUAUUAGGGAAGAACAAAUGUGUAAGUAACUAUGCACGUCUUGACGGUACCUAAUCAGAAAGCCACGGCUAACUACGUG
Molecule: ribosomal RNA, 497 nt
Filed under: uncultured bacterium
Lineage: Bacteria
Description: partial 16S ribosomal RNA
Rfam family: Bacterial small subunit ribosomal RNA
Source: RNAcentral